AACGCACAUUGCACUCUAUGGUAUUCCGUAGAGUAUGCCUGUUUCAGUAUCAUGAACACCUCACUACUACAACUUUAUUGUUUUGUAAGAGUGGACUUGGGAUGCGCUGGUGUCAAUCAGCCCUUCUAAAAUGGAGUUCUUGCACUGUUGAUUUGUUUUAACAGCAAUGUUGGCCUAAUAAGUUUCGGCAGUAAUGUUGAAAUCACCGGCUUUUUUUGCUUAGAAUCUGACAGUCUUGAUAUACAGAAUUUUGAGAUGACUUUUGUCGCCUCUUUCAAAUUUUGAUCUGAAAUCAGGUAGGAUUACCCGCUGAACUUAA
This 319-nucleotide unclassified non-coding RNA is filed under the name uncultured Umbelopsis. RNAcentral's name for it is "sequence contains ITS2". The record is from RNAcentral. Lineage: Eukaryota; Fungi; Mucoromycota; Umbelopsidomycetes; Umbelopsidales; Umbelopsidaceae.